UGGAUCCAGACUUUGAUUCUGGCUCAGGAUGAACGCUAGCUACAGGCUUAACACAUGCAAGUCGAGGGGAAACGAUAUUGGGAGCUUGCUUCCGAUAGGCGUCGACCGGCGCACGGGUGAGUAACGCGUAUCCAACCUGCCCAUCACUUGGGGAUAACCUUGCGAAAGUAAGACUAAUACCCAAUGAUAUCUCUAGAAGACAUCUGAAAGAGAUUAAAGAUUUAUCGGUGAUGGAUGGGGAUGCGUCUGAUUAGCUUGUUGGCGGGGUAACGGCCCACCAAGGCAACGAUCAGUAGGGGUUCUGAGAGGAAGGUCCCCCACAUUGGAACUGAGACACGGUCCAAACUCCUACGGGAGGCAGCAGUGAGGAAUAUUGGUCAAUGGACGAGAGUCUGAACCAGCCAAGUAGCGUGCAGGAUGACGGCCCUAUGGGUUGUAAACUGCUUUUAUAAGGGAAUAAAGUGAGUCUCGUGAGACUUUUUGCAUGUACCUUAUGAAUAAGGACCGGCUAAUUCCGUGCCAGCAGCCGCGGUAAUACGGAAGGUCCGGGCGUUAUCCGGAUUUAUUGGGUUUAAAGGGAGCGUAGGCCGGAGAUUAAGCGUGUUGUGAAAUGUAGACGCUCAACGUCUGCACUGCAGCGCGAACUGGUUUCCUUGAGUACGCACAAAGUGGGCGGAAUUCGUGGUGUAGCGGUGAAAUGCUUAGAUAUCACGAAGAACUCCGAUUGCGAAGGCAGCUCACUGGAGCGCAACUGACGCUGAAGCUCGAAAGUGCGGGUAUCGAACAGGAUUAGAUACCCUGGUAGUCCGCACGGUAAACGAUGGAUGCCCGCUGUUGGUCUGAAUAGGUCAGCGGCCAAGCGAAAGCAUUAAGCAUCCCACCUGGAGUACGCCGGCAACGGUGCAACUCAAAGGAAUUGACGGA
This 924-nucleotide ribosomal RNA is filed under the name uncultured Bacteroidota bacterium. RNAcentral describes it as "bacterial SSU rRNA". It matches the Rfam family "Bacterial small subunit ribosomal RNA", at positions 1 to 917 of the family's 1533-position model. Lineage: Bacteria; Pseudomonadati; Bacteroidota. The record is from RNAcentral.